AUGGGGGGCGGGGGUCCCGGCACCCCCCAGGCUGCAGCCGGCUCCCAGGGGGACGCGUCCUGCUCCGGGGGGGGGGGGGGGGGGGGGGGGGGGGGGGGGGGGGGGGGGCGGGGGGGGGGGGGGGGGGGGGGGGGGGGGGGGGGGGGGGGGGGGGGGGGGGGGGGGGGGGGGGGGGGGCUCAGCCUGACCCCAAACACCCUGCUCGGCCCCGACACCGUGCAACAGGGCUGGGUGCUCCUGGCUGUGCCCCGUCCCUGUCCCUGUCCCUGUCCCUGUCCCUGUCCCUGGUUGGGGUCAGCACAAGCAGCCCCCCCCCCCAGCUCAUUUUCAGCUCCUCGCACCCGCACAUCCCCAGGCACUGACCUGAAGCUGCCCCCCCCCAAGCCCCCUGGGCACCCCCAGAGACCCCCAGACACCCCCACCGCUUACAGCCCCCUCCCCAACUCGCAGGCCAGACCGGGGGGGGGGGUGAGGAAAGCAUCCAAAAAAUGUGAGCUGGAGCUGGGGCCAUCGCCGGCACCCCAGGGCAAAACGGGGGGGACCCGGGGCCGAGCCUGCUCCAUGGCUGGGGACCACCAGGGACGGGCUGGGGGGGGGGGGCUGAGGGGCUCUGUGCCUCCAUCCCCGAGCAGGGGGGGUGCAGGAGGGGGGGGUCCGUGGCCGUGCCGGGCGCCUCCAUCCCGAAAUCUCAGCAACGGUUCCCAGGGCAAUGGGCAAAGGCCGCCGCUGGCCCCGCAGCCCCGCACAGGCGGCCCCUUUGUGCCCCCCCCCCCCCCUCAGCCUGUGCCCGAAGUGGGGGGGGGGGUGGCACUGCUGGGACCCCCCCAGCCCCCUGCCUGGCUCCCCAGCCCCUCCAGCUCCAUCCCCGUCCCUCUGUCCGUCCCCAUCCGCUGCAGCCCUUCCUCCCCCCCAGCCCCUCUUUCUCCAGCCCCCCCAUUCCCCAUCCCGCUCUCCCUGCCCCCUCAGUCCCCCCCCGACCCCCCCAGCCCUCCCCUGCUCCCUGACCCCGUCCCUGUCCACUGCACCCCCUACUCCCCAUCCCUCUGUCCCUGUUCCUAUGUCCCCUGCACCCCACAUGCUUCCCAGCCCUUUUCCCAGCCCUGUCCCCAUCUCUCUGCCCCCAUCCCCUGCCCCCCCGGCCCCUGGGCCCCUGUCCCUGUCCCUCUGUCCGUGUCCCUGCCCUCUGCAUCCCCCCAUGCUUCCCAUCCCUUUCCUGAUCCCUGUCCCUCUGUCCCCAUCCCUGUCCCUGUCCCCAUCCCUCUGCCCCCAUUCCCUGCUCCCCCCCUGGCCCCUGGCCCUGUCCCUCGUCCCCCACCCCUCUGUCCCCAUCCCUCUGUCCCUGUCCCCAUCCCCAUCCCUCCGUCCCAGUCCCUCCGUCCCCAUCCCUGUCCCCAUCCCCUGCCCCCCCCGGCCCCUCUCUCUGUCCCCAUCCCCAUCCCUCUGUCUCUGUCCCUCUGUCCCCAUCCCUCCAUCCCUGUCCCUUCGUCC
RNAcentral lists this long non-coding RNA (1488 nucleotides) under Cairina moschata (Muscovy duck). RNAcentral's name for it is "domestica (muscovy Duck (domestic type)) lncRNA (ENSCMMG00000004249.1)". Lineage: Eukaryota; Metazoa; Chordata; Aves; Anseriformes; Anatidae. The record is from RNAcentral.